UUGAUCGGACCAGCUUGGCUGAGACCCAUUCAGUUCGCAUCACUAGCUUGGGGGCCGCAGAAGCAGCCAGAACGUGCCACAACAGUUACACAAAUCUGCGUGGAGUGGCAUCCAAGCAAGGAUUUCAAUCAAGUAACGGAGUAAAGUAACAAUGACAUUGCCCAACACCACCUGAUUGGAUCAGAGGGCGGGCUAUGAAUCAGAAGUAUGAGUUGACGUAUAUUUUUGUUUGUACACAUGUACAUAUGUACAUAAUGGAUUGUAAAUCACCUUUGUUUGACCGAUAUAUCGUGAAUCUAACUUUCAAUCUUCAUUGGAAACGUAUCCGAAAGCAAAGUCGCGAAUUUGACAUUGACACAGACCAUAGGAGGGAGAGGGGAAAAAGAGAAGGAGAGGAUGAGGGAGCGGGAGCUGGAGAUGGAGAACAAGGUAAAAUGGACAUGAGAUAAUUUGUGUAUAAAUUAAAACAUGUUUUUCAAAAGGCUUUUUGUAAGACCCCCUCACACACACACACAAAUAGCACGCAUACGAGUAUGCAUAUGUGUGUGCUAAUUAUUUGCGUGCACAUGUUUCAAUGUCAUUACCACAGAAGAGUGCAAAGAGAGUGGAUUUUAAC
Long non-coding RNA from Drosophila guanche, 616 nucleotides. RefSeq lists it as uncharacterized. The transcript has 2 exons. The record is from RefSeq and is a predicted model, not a curated record. Lineage: Eukaryota; Metazoa; Arthropoda; Insecta; Diptera; Drosophilidae.